GUUGCACCAAGGAGAAUGUGAAACCCAAGGGUCCACCUGCCUCCUCUCCAGCCUGGCCCAGAAAGCACCUUUGAAAGAUGGAGUCUUGCUCUGUCGCUCAGGCAGUAGCGCGAUCUCAGGUCACUGCAACCUCCACCUCCCAGGUUCAAGAGAUUCUCCUGCCUCAGCCUCCCGAGUAGCUGGGAUCACAGGCGUGUGCCACCACGCCCAGCUAAUUUUUGCAUUUUUAGUAGAGAUGGGGUUUCACCAUGUUGGCCAGUCUGGUCUCGAACUCCUGACCUCAGGUGAUCCACCCACCUCAGCCUCCUAAAGUGCAGGGAUUACAGGCAUGAGCCCAUCUAACUUUUUACUUUACGAAGGAAGAUACAUGAUGUCCAAAAAGCACAUGCAAAAAUCAUCAACAUCAGGAAAAUACCCAUAAGCCACAAAGAGAUCACAACAGAACGGCUAAAAUUAGAAAGAAUGGCAACACCAAUUGUUGGGAAAGAUGUAGUAUGAUGAGAACUCUCACACGUUGGAAGGCAAAAUGGCACAGCCACUUUGGAAAAAUGUCCAGCAGGAUCUUAUAAAAUUAAAUAUGCAACAGCCCCAUGAGUUAACCUCCCACUCUUAGAUAUUUACCCAAGACAAGUCAAAGCAAAUCCUGGACUCAGCUUGUGUGUCUGUCACCAGGAGAGCAAACUGACAAGCCAUGGUGCAUUUGUACAGUGGAACAAUACUCAUCCAUCAAAGGCUUGGCCUACCAUUGCAUGCAACAGUGUGAUCCUCAGAACACCAUGCCAUGUGAGAGAAAUCUUACACAAAGGAGUACAGACUGUGCAACUCCAUUUAUAUGAAGGUCUAGAGCCAGCAAAGCUCAUCCCCAGGGAAGAAAAUUCAACACUGUGGUUGCCUUAGUGGUUCCAUAGUGCCUGGGAAAGGUCACAGGGGAUUCUCGGCUAACGUUCUGCAUUGUGAGAGAGGUUUGGAUGAGACUUAAAAGUUAUGCACAUUGCUGUUUGUAAAUUUUAUUUAAAAAAAGAAUUAUAAACUCAUAAUGAACUCCAAUUAAUGAUCUGCAUGCUGAAGCGCUUGCAAAGUGAAGUGCAUUGGUGUCUACAACUUACUUUAAAAUGCAUCCGAAAAACCAGUGGAUUUGUCGACAGAGGAAUUGGCAAAUAUGUGAUAAAGCAAUAAUAGAAAAAUGUUCAUUUUAGAAUCUAGGAAGAGUUUGGUACACUUUCCUAUAAAGGGCCGAAUGCAUAUUGCAGAUUUUAUGGACCAGACAAUCUCAGUCACGAUGGCUCGACUCUUCUUCCAUUGUUGUUAGAAGCCAGCCAUAGUCACUAUGCAAAUGAUGAGUGUGCCUGGGUUCUGUUGUAAAACAAAUGCAACUUCAUUUGUAGAUGUUGAAAGUUGAAUUUCAUAUAAUUUUUAUGUGUCCCAACAUAUUUUUUCUUUUGACUUUUUAACCAUUUAAGAACAGAAAAACCAUUGUUAGCUUGCAGCCCAUAUAAUAACGGGUAGUGGGUGAGCUUUAGCCCACGGGCUAUAAUUUGCUGACCCCUGACAUAGGAGGAGGGCAUGUGGGCAUUUCUUGUACAAUUCUUUCAACUUUUCUGUGUAUUUAAAACAUUUUCAUAGUAAAAUAUUGGGGAAAAUACAAAAAGAAAUUGAAUACAUUACAACAGUUAUUUUCUUUAAAGUCUCCUAUUAGUAUCGUGGCCCUACACGUACCUCACUGUAUCUCCCACAAUUUUCACCCUAUGCAUGGUGAAGCACCUUUUUGGUACAUAAAUAUUUGUAGUUGGGACAUAUCUGUUGUCAGUUGCAUUCUUUAUUAUUCUAAAGAACCUAUUCUGGUCUUCCUUGGUGUGUUUCUCCCUGAACUCAGCCUUACCUGACAUUAAGGAUAUAAACCCAGCUUCGUUUCUGUUUGAGGCUGUCCAUCCGUUCUUCGCCCAUCGUUUCAUUUUACAAGCUCUCUCAGUCACAGAGCUUUAGGACUCUCUCCUGGACAGGCACGGGAUUGAGUUUUUGAUUCUUCUGUUUAUCUCGUUUAUAUUAAAUGACCUGACGCGUUUGAUCUUGGUUCUCUC
This 2078-nucleotide long non-coding RNA is filed under the name Homo sapiens (human). RNAcentral's name for it is "HSALNT0274024". The record is from RNAcentral. Lineage: Eukaryota; Metazoa; Chordata; Mammalia; Primates; Hominidae.